Molecule: transfer RNA, 76 nt
Filed under: Clostridium botulinum
Lineage: Bacteria; Bacillati; Bacillota; Clostridia; Eubacteriales; Clostridiaceae
Also listed under: 17 other names
Description: tRNA-Met
Rfam family: tRNA
About the family: Transfer RNA (tRNA) molecules are approximately 80 nucleotides in length. Their secondary structure includes four short double-helical elements and three loops (D, anti-codon, and T loops). Further hydrogen bonds mediate the characteristic L-shaped molecular structure. tRNAs have two regions of fundamental functional importance: the anti-codon, which is responsible for specific mRNA codon recognition, and the 3' end, to which the tRNAs corresponding amino acid is attached (by aminoacyl-tRNA synthetases). tRNAs cope with the degeneracy of the genetic code in two manners: having more than one tRNA (with a specific anti-codon) for a particular amino acid; and 'wobble' base-pairing, i.e. permitting non-standard base-pairing at the 3rd anti-codon position.
Source: RNAcentral
CGCGGGGUGGAGCAGUUGGCAGCUCGUCGGGCUCAUAACCCGAAGGUCGCAGGUUCAAGUCCUGUCCCCGCAACCA